GGUGAACGCUGGCGGCGUGCCUAACACAUGCAAGUCGAGCGUGCAGUUUGAAGCUUCGGUGGAAAGCUGCAUAGCGGCGGACGGGUGAGGAAAACGUAGGAACGUGCCCCUUGGAGUUGGAUAGCCACGGGAAACUGUGGGUAAACCGACAUAGACUACGAGAGAGUAAAGGCCGAAAGGCGCCAAGGGAGCGGCCUGCGGCCCAUCAGGUAGUUGGUAGUGUAAAGGGACUACCAAGCCGACGACCGGGUAGCCGGUCUGAGAGGAUGGCCGGCCACAAGGGCACUGAGAGACGGGCCCUACUCCUACGGGAGGCAGCAGUGGGGGAUUUUGGACGAAUGGGCGAAAGCCUGAUCCAGCGACGCCGCGUGGAGGACGAAGCCCUUCGGGGUGUAAACUCCUUUUCUCAGGGAAAAAGGAUGAUGGUACCUGAGGAAUAAGCCCCGGCUAACUACGUG
This 458-nucleotide ribosomal RNA is filed under the name uncultured bacterium. RNAcentral describes it as "bacterial SSU rRNA". It matches the Rfam family "Bacterial small subunit ribosomal RNA", at positions 28 to 507 of the family's 1533-position model. The record is from RNAcentral.